CAAAAGGGCCCACUCGACGAGGGCCAACUCGAGCGAGACUUGGGAUAAGGCUUCCAUCUCUCUCUCUCUCUUUCACUCUCCCUCUCUCUCUCUCUCUCUCUCGCCCGCACGCUAGCUCUCAGACAUGACGGCGAUUUCGACGGGUUUGGCGACCGCCUUCUUCGGUCUCGCAAGGCGGCAGGUGGCCGCGGCCACGGCCCUCCGCCCCCAAGCGCCGCUCCUCCCCCUCCCAUGCCGUGGGAAGACCGCUGCCGUCUCCGCUCGCUCCUAUACCAUCGUCGCCAAACGGACGGCUGGAAUCGGGUCGGGACGGCUCACGGUUUCGCGAAGGUCGGGGGCGUGCGCCCGUCGGUUCGUCACGGCCGCCACCGCGACGGAGGAGAGCUCGGACGUCCUGACGAAGAUUCCGCCGGACGAACGCAUUCCGGCCACCAUCAUCACUGGGUUCCUUGGCUCUGGGAAGACAACUUUGCUGAACCAUAUAUUGACUGCUGAACAUGGAAAACGCAUAGCAGUUAUUGAGAAUGAGUUUGGGGAAGUUGAUAUUGAUGGUUCCUUGGUUGCUGCUAAAACUACUGGAGCUGAGGAUAUAGUUAUGCUCAAUAAUGGUUGUCUUUGCUGCACUGUGAGGGGUGAUCUUGUCCGAAUGAUUAGUGAAUUAGUUGAAAAAAAGAAAGGAAGAUUUGAUCAUAUUGUAAUAGAGACUACAGGGUUAGCCAAUCCAGCACCUAUUAUUCAGACAUUUUAUGCAGAGGAUAAGAUUUUCAAUGAUGUCAAACUGGAUGGUGUUGUUACUUUGGUGGAUGCAAAGCAUGCAGGCUUUCAUUUGGAUGAGGUAAAGCCCAAAGGUGUGGUCAAUGAGGCUGUGGAGCAGAUUGCAUAUGCUGACAGAAUUAUAGUGAACAAGACUGAUCUUGUAGGUGAGUCUGAUAUCUCUUCACUGAUCCAGCGGAUAAAGAAUAUCAACCGCAUGGCUCAUUUAAAGCGAGCAGAGUAUGGAAGAGUUGAUUUGGAUUAUGUUCUUGGGAUUGGAGGCUUUGAUUUGGAGAGGAUUGAGAGUGUUGUUAAUCCUGAAGUUUCAGACGAAGACCACUCAAGGCAUGAACAUGAGCAUGAUCAUGAUCACCAUCAUGACCAUCAUCAUCAUGAUGACCAUGACCAUAAACAUGAGCAUCAUGCUGAUUCCCAUUCUCACGAUCAUAGCCAUGACCCUGGAGUUUCUUCUGUAAGCAUUGUUUGUGAAGGGAGCCUAGAUCUUGAAAAGGCCAAUAUGUGGUUAGGAACAUUGUUGUUGGAACGGAGUGAUGACAUAUACAGGAUGAAAGGUCUUUUAUCUGUUGACGGCAUGCCCGAGAGGUUUGUCUUUCAGCUGGAGCACAUGAGCUGAUAAGCAUUGACCUAUCUCUGAUGGUGGUGGGGAUCACAUUUUUUAAGUGAGAUUAGGAGCUGGGAUGGCUGCAUCAACCCUCUGGGAGUUGAUAGGAAGUGACCUCAAUUGGACUUGAACUACUAAAUCUGACACCUGGUUUUGGAUUAAAGCUAGUGGCUGGGCUUGGCUUCUGUGAUAUUUUGGGUGAACCAUGUUUAUCUGGAUUAGGUCCCCUAAAGUUGGCCAGAUUUGUCUUCAUUGAGUUGGUUUAAGCUGGAUUUUGCUGGAUUCAGAUUGGCGAAGGGCAAGGUUAGAUCCAGUCUUAGGUCUUCUCAACUCAUUUGCAACCUAUGGACGUCUUGUUUGUACGAUGCUCCACAUGCCAAAAUUUUCUAUUUGGCUAUGAGGACUUCACCCCUUUGACUUGAUCAUAUGAGGCCUUGAGCCUUUGAAUUUUAUGACGUUGAGUGGAGAUCCCUUCUCAUCUUUAGACCA
Molecule: non-coding RNA, 1864 nt
Organism: Elaeis guineensis (African oil palm)
Lineage: Eukaryota; Viridiplantae; Streptophyta; Magnoliopsida; Arecales; Arecaceae
Source: RefSeq, a predicted model, not a curated record